Molecule: ribosomal RNA, 253 nt
Filed under: uncultured bacterium
Lineage: Bacteria
Description: partial 16S ribosomal RNA
Rfam family: Bacterial small subunit ribosomal RNA
Source: RNAcentral
GACGAAGGUGGCGAGCGUUGUUCGGAAUCACUGGGCAUAAAGCGCACGUAGGCGGCUAAGUAAGUCGGAUGUGAAAUACCUCGGCUCAACCGAGGAACUGCGUCCGAUACUGCUUGGCUUGAGGUCCGGAGGGGAGAGUGGAAUUCCCGGUGGAGCGGUGAAAUGCGUAGAGAUCGGGAAGAACGCCGGCGGCGAAAGCGACUCUCUGGUCGGAAUCUGACGCUGAGGUGCGAAAGCUAGGGGCGCAAACGGG